Pelobates cultripes (western spadefoot toad) is the source of this 404-nucleotide non-coding RNA. The record is from the annotation of a GenBank genome assembly. NCBI's taxonomy places the organism in Eukaryota, Metazoa, Chordata, Amphibia, Anura, Pelobatidae.
AGGUAUUCGACACACUGCUUUUCUUUCAGGUCCCAUUGUUCUUUGACCUUCAGAGAUCUGGAAUCCUAAAUACUUGACAGUUGGCUGACACAAUUGCACCUUCUUCCUUGAUACCUUGUAUCCUGCCCUCCAAAGAAAAUGGAGUAGAUCAUGGGUUGCUUGUUGGCACAUCUCUUUAGUAACUGCGGCUAUCGAGAUCCUCCACGUACUGAAGUAAUACACAUUCCCUUGGAAUGGAUUUGAAGUCUUGUAAAUCUUGACUCGGUGCAGAUCCAAAUAGGGUAGGUGAAUUCUUGAAUCCUUGAGGCAACCUGGUCCAAGUCAUCUGACGCUUUGAUCCCGUAACAGCAUCUUCCCAUUGAAAAGCAAAGAUGCACUGACUUUCAACAGCAAGUCAAAGGCAG